RNAcentral lists this ribosomal RNA (111 nucleotides) under Salmo salar (Atlantic salmon). The record is from RNAcentral. Lineage: Eukaryota; Metazoa; Chordata; Actinopteri; Salmoniformes; Salmonidae.
GCUUAUGGCCAUAUCAGCCUGGGUACACGCCUGAUCUCGGAAGCUAAGCAGGGUCGGGCCUGGUUAGUACUUGGAUGGGAGACCGCCUGGGAAUACCAGGUGCUGUAAGCA